This 331-nucleotide ribosomal RNA is filed under the name uncultured eukaryote. RNAcentral describes it as "partial 18S ribosomal RNA". It matches the Rfam family "Eukaryotic small subunit ribosomal RNA", at positions 1470 to 1796 of the family's 1831-position model. The record is from RNAcentral.
CCCUUAGAUGUUCUGGGCCGCACGCGCGCUACACUGUUCGACGCAGCGAGUCUUAACCUUGACCGAAAGGUUUGGGUAAUCUUCAGCAAAGUCGAACGUGAUGGGGAUCGAUCAUUGCAAUUAUUGAUCGUGAACGAGGAAUUCCUAGUAAGUGCAAGUCAUCAGCUUGCGCUGAUUACGUCCCUGCCCUUUGUACACACCGCCCGUCGCUACUACCGAUUGAAUGGUUUAGUGAGAUCUCUGGAUUGACGCUGGCUAGGGGGCGACCCUUGGCCGGGCUGUCGAGAAACUGCUCAAACUUGAUCAUUUAGAGGAAGUAAAAGUCGUAACA